UACGUAGGGUGCAAGCGUUGUCCGGAAUUAUUGGGCGUAAAGAGCUCGUAGGCGGUCUGUCGCGUCUGCUGUGAAAACUCAGGGCUUAACCCUGAGCUUGCAGUGGGUACGGGCAGACUAGAGUGCGGUAGGGGAGACUGGAAUUCCUGGUGUAGCGGUGAAAUGCGCAGAUAUCAGGAGGAACACCGGUGGCGAAGGCGGGUCACUGGUCCGGUACUGACGCUGAGGUGCGAAAGCGUGGGGAGCAAACAGG
RNAcentral lists this ribosomal RNA (253 nucleotides) under uncultured bacterium. RNAcentral's name for it is "partial 16S ribosomal RNA". It matches the Rfam family "Bacterial small subunit ribosomal RNA", at positions 524 to 776 of the family's 1533-position model. The record is from RNAcentral.